AUUGAACGCUGGCGGCAUGCUUUACACAUGCAAGUCGAACGGUAACAGGCCUUCUGGUGCUGACGAGUGGCGAACGGGUGAGUAAUGCAUCGGAACGUACCCAGAGGUGGGGGAUAACGCAGCGAAAGCUGUGCUAAUACCGCAUGUGAUCUGAGGAUGAAAGCGGGGGACCGAGCAGCAAUGUUUGGCCUCGCGCCUUUGGAGCGGCCGAUGUCGGAUUAGCUAGUUGGUGGGGUAAAGGCCUACCAAGGCGACGAUCCGUAGCUGGUCUGAGAGGACGGCCAGCCACCCUGGGACUGAGACACGGACCAGACUCCUACGGGAGGCAGCAGUGGGGAAUUUUGGACAAUGGGCGCAAGCCUGAUCCAGCAAUGCCGCGUGCGGGAAGAAGGCCUUCGGGUUGUAAACCGCUUUUGGCAGGAACGAAACGGUGUCCGCUAAUACCGGGCGCUAAUGACGGUACCUGCAGAAUAAGCACCGGCUAACUACGUG
RNAcentral lists this ribosomal RNA (492 nucleotides) under uncultured bacterium. Its description in RNAcentral is "partial 16S ribosomal RNA". It matches the Rfam family "Bacterial small subunit ribosomal RNA", at positions 30 to 507 of the family's 1533-position model. The record is from RNAcentral.